GACGAACGCUGGCGGCGUGCUUAACACAUGCAAGUCGAACGGUAAGGCCCUUCGGGUACGACGAGUGGCGAACGGGUGGAGUAACACGUGGGUGGAUCUGCCCUGCACUUCGGGAUAAGCCUGGGAAACUGGGUCUAAUACCGGAUAGGACCAUGGACUUCACGGUUUGUGGUGGAAAGCUUUGCGGUGUGGGAUGGCCCGCGGCCUAUCAGCUUGUUGGUGGGGUAAUGGCCUACCAAGGCGACGACGGGUAGCCGGCCUGAGAGGGUGUCCGGCCACACUGGGACUGAGAUACGGCCCAGACUCCUACGGGAGGCAGCAGUGGGGAAUAUUGCACAAUGGGCGCAAGCCUGAUGCAGCGACGCCGCGUGAGGGAUGAC
Molecule: ribosomal RNA, 380 nt
Filed under: uncultured bacterium
Lineage: Bacteria
Description: bacterial SSU rRNA
Rfam family: Bacterial small subunit ribosomal RNA
Source: RNAcentral